GGGGGUGACCCGGUUUCGACAGGGGAACCGAAGGUGAUGUUGCGUGUCGAGGUGCCGUUGGCCUCGUAAACAAACGGCAAAGCCAUUAACUGGCAACCAGAACAUCGCUCUCGCUGCUUAAGUGAGACAGUGACCGCCUAGCCCGGCCUUUGGCGCGGCGCGAACUGAACCAAAAGAAGGCUAGCCCCGGUGAGGUUCCAUAACCGAAGGCGAAAACAAAUGGAAAUACGGUGACGCGAAGCCCGCCCGCUGGCGGCGCGUCACCCGACAACCAAAGAGCGGGAUACACACGUAGACGCACGCUGGAAGGACCUUUGGACGGCGGUUCGACUCCGCCCACCUCCACCA
This 348-nucleotide transfer-messenger RNA is filed under the name Deinococcus aetherius. It matches the Rfam family "transfer-messenger RNA". From Rfam's summary of the family: Bacterial tmRNA, also known as 10Sa RNA or SsrA, is named for its dual tRNA and mRNA-like properties. Its role is to liberate the mRNA from a stalled ribosome. Lineage: Bacteria; Thermotogati; Deinococcota; Deinococci; Deinococcales; Deinococcaceae. The record is from RNAcentral.